GAUGAACGCUGGCGGCGUGCCUAAUACAUGCAAGUCGAGCGAACAGACGAGGAGCUUGCUCCUCUGACGUUAGCGGCGGACGUGUGAGUAACACGUGGAUAACCUACCUAUAAGACUGGGAUAACUUCGGGAAACCGGAGCUAAUACCGGAUAAUAUAUUGAACCGCAUGGUUCAAUAGUGAAAGACGGUUUUGCUGUCACUUAUAGAUGGAUCCGCGCCGCAUUAGCUAGUUGGUAAGGUAACGGCUUACCAAGGCAACGAUGCGUAGCCGACCUGAGAGGGUGAGCGGCCACACUGGAACUGAGACACGGUCCAGACUCCUACGGGAGGCAGCAGUAGGGAAUCUUCCGCAAUGGGCGAAAGCCUGACGGAGCAACGCCGCGUGAGUGAUGAAGGUCUUCGGAUCGUAAAACUCUGUUAUUAGGGAAGAACAAAUGUGUAAGUAACUAUGCACGUCUUGACGGUACCUAAUCAGAAAGCCACGGCUAACUACGUG
This 497-nucleotide ribosomal RNA is filed under the name uncultured bacterium. RNAcentral describes it as "partial 16S ribosomal RNA". It matches the Rfam family "Bacterial small subunit ribosomal RNA", at positions 28 to 507 of the family's 1533-position model. The record is from RNAcentral.